GUCACUAGUGAUGGUACUCUCAUUUAUUGAGAUAGGGUUCAACUCCCUGUGGUGAC
Astyanax mexicanus (Mexican tetra) is the source of this 56-nucleotide non-coding RNA. The record is from Rfam. NCBI's taxonomy places the organism in Eukaryota, Metazoa, Chordata, Actinopteri, Characiformes, Acestrorhamphidae.